Molecule: ribosomal RNA, 472 nt
Filed under: uncultured organism
Description: partial 16S ribosomal RNA
Rfam family: Bacterial small subunit ribosomal RNA
Source: RNAcentral
CACUCCUACGGGAGGCAGCAGUGGGGAAUUUUGGACAAUGGGCGAAAGCCUGAUCCAGCCAUGCCGCGUGCAGGAUGAAGGCCUUCGGGUUGUAAACUGCUUUUGUACGGAACGAAACGGCCUUUUCUAAUAAAGAGGGCUAAUGACGGUACCGUAAGAAUAAGCACCGGCUAACUACGUGCCAGCAGCCGCGGUAAUACGUAGGGUGCAAGCGUUAAUCGGAAUUACUGGGCGUAAAGCGUGCGCAGGCGGUUAUGUAAGACAGUUGUGAAAUCCCCGGGCUCAACCUGGGAACUGCAUCUGUGACUGCAUAGCUAGAGUACGGUAGAGGGGGAUGGAAUUCCGCGUGUAGCAGUGAAAUGCGUAGAUAUGCGGAGGAACACCGAUGGCGAAGGCAAUCCCCUGGACCUGUACUGACGCUCAUGCACGAAAGCGUGGGGAGCAAACAGGAUUAGAUACCCUUGUAGUCCCA